Molecule: long non-coding RNA, 1014 nt
Organism: Bos taurus (domestic cattle)
Lineage: Eukaryota; Metazoa; Chordata; Mammalia; Artiodactyla; Bovidae
Source: Ensembl
AGCCCUACCCGGCGCCGCCUCCAUUGUUCCCAGUCGCUCUCAGAACUUCCCCCAAGGCCCAGCAAGCCAUCCACUGCACACGCGUGGACCUCGGGUUCCUUUGUGCGGAGCCUCCACCGAGGGCGGUGGGCCUCAGGUCUGCCCAGGCGGCAGGCAGCUCUCUCGGUCGGGCCGAAGCCAGACCUGGGUGCCGGGGCCACGGACCAGGGGCUGACAGAUGUCCUCAGCUGAGCUGCGUCGGAAUGGUGAUGGUUAACCAGACCCUGCACCCAGAGACUGCACACUGGCUUCAUUCCUACCAACAACUGGCCAAGAAAGCAUCACUGGGGGCACUUGGAAGCAGGGAACAUUUAUUUUCACUUUUCAUGUCAGCCAGGAAGACUCACCGGCCUGCACCAAGCCAGGUGUGCAGCAAUCCAGGCCCUCGGCCCAUAUGAGAGCCACACUGAGGCCCAGGCCAGGGCGUCAGUCUUUCCUUGUGGAAUUCAGGUUCUGAGUUUAGGAGGAGAGUGAGAUUCUGUCCUGGGGCUCAGAAGGGAGCACUCUGCUGCCCACCAGCCCCCGGUCUCUGCCUCCUAGUGAAAAUGUAACAGCCAAUGUGCUGGUAGGGAGCGGACAACGGGAGUAGCUCAUCCAUCCUCUCGUAGGUGGGCUGGCCAGGGCCUGUGGGGUCUCCCAGGCCCUCAUUGGUCCCCUAGCAGGGUUGGCCAUGAGCAGCCAAGGGCACUGGAGGUCAAGCUGGAGAGGCACCUGGAACAAGUGAUGGCUGCAAGGAGGGAUGCUCGGCCCAGUCCCAGCCCCCAUGGCCUGACCACUGGGAGUGGAGCCGAAAUUUAACUCAGCUCAGAAGGUGAAGUCUAAACGGCUUCACUUAGCUCAGAAAAAAUGGAGCUGACUUUACAGGUCUGAGGGAUGGACAAUGAAAGGCAAGGUUGGGGCUAGAAGGUUGAAGGCCUAGAUCCCGGCCAAGGGCACCACUCUCUGAGCCUGGAUACGGUCACCUGGAGGGUCCAG